RNAcentral lists this ribosomal RNA (497 nucleotides) under uncultured Bacilli bacterium. RNAcentral's name for it is "bacterial SSU rRNA". It matches the Rfam family "Bacterial small subunit ribosomal RNA", at positions 396 to 884 of the family's 1533-position model. Lineage: Bacteria; Bacillati; Bacillota; Bacilli. The record is from RNAcentral.
GCCGCGUGAGCGAUGAAGGCCUUCGGGUCGUAAAGCUCUGUUGUUAGGGAAGAACAAGUACCGGAGUAACUGCCGGUACCUUGACGGUACCUAACCAGAAAGCCACGGCUAACUACGUGCCAGCAGCCGCGGUAAUACGUAGGUGGCAAGCGUUGUCCGGAAUUAUUGGGCGUAAAGCGCGCGCAGGCGGUCCUUUAAGUCUGAUGUGAAAGCCCACGGCUCAACCGUGGAGGGUCAUUGGAAACUGGGGGACUUGAGUGCAGAAGAGGAAAGCGGAAUUCCACGUGUAGCGGUGAAAUGCGUAGAGAUGUGGAGGAACACCAGUGGCGAAGGCGGCUUUCUGGUCUGUAACUGACGCUGAGGCGCGAAAGCGUGGGGAGCAAACAGGAUUAGAUACCCUGGUAGUCCACGCCGUAAACGAUGAGUGCUAAGUGUUAGAGGGUUUCCGCCCUUUAGUGCUGCAGCUAACGCAUUAAGCACUCCGCCUGGGGAGUACG